UACACACACACACACACACAGACUGCUAAAUACACACACACACGGACUGCCGAGUACACACACACAGACUGCUAAAUACACACACUGCAUUGAGGGGUACAGUGUAUGUGUUUGUGUGUGCGGUGAUGUGUUUGUGUGUGGGGUGAUGUGUUUGUGUGUGGGGUGAUGUGUUUGUGUGGUGUGUGUGUGUGGGGUGAUGUGUGUGUGUUUGUGUGGGGUGAUAUGUGUAGGGCAGGGGUGCUGUGUGUAUGUCGUCCCCUCUCUCCCCCCCCCACUGUUUUCUUUCCCCCCAUCCCUCCCUCAUUCCCCCCCAUAUCUCUCCCUCAUUUCCCCC
Non-coding RNA from Pelobates cultripes (western spadefoot toad), 334 nucleotides. The record is from the annotation of a GenBank genome assembly. NCBI's taxonomy places the organism in Eukaryota, Metazoa, Chordata, Amphibia, Anura, Pelobatidae.